Molecule: long non-coding RNA, 949 nt
Filed under: Astyanax mexicanus (Mexican tetra)
Lineage: Eukaryota; Metazoa; Chordata; Actinopteri; Characiformes; Acestrorhamphidae
Description: lncRNA (ENSAMXG00005004787.1)
Source: RNAcentral
AUGUACAUACUAGUUGAGUUUGAAGAAAAUAAUUCCACCAAUAUUGUACCGGAGAUAUGGUAUCAAGAUGGAAUGGCUCGGUGGCCAAACUACAAGAAUGACAAAAAGAUAAACCAGGCAAUUGAGAAGAAGGAACAACCAGGGGCUGACUGGUCUUGCCAUGUUGCUCGAGUACUUGCAAAAGCUGCCACUUACCAAGAGGCCAGGAAAAAAAUGAACCAAUCAAUUACUUGUUGCACCUCAGAGCUACAGUCUGAAGAGGAAGACGAAUCGCUAUUAAGAAAAAAACGAAAAAGACAAAGAAGUGUCAGAUUGCAUGAUUAUCAUGAAGAGGAUGAAGAGUUGAAUGAGGAAUGUAGUCAUAGAAAUAGACCCCCACUGCCAGUUCCUCCAACAUUACCACCUCCAACAAUAACAGCUGUCAGCAAGAGUGCUUGGGAAAACCCUUCAUUCAGUAGAGAGACACAUGAACGGCCUUGUACACAAGUGGAAAAUUCUGAGAGUGGAAGCUUGGUCCGUGAGGCCCCUGUGUCGUACAGAGAAAUGCUAAAUGACCAGGUCUGGGAGCCUCUGCCAACUUACAGUGCACCAAGACCUGUCUCACAAAACAAAGAUGUGUGGAGAGCAGCAGUCUCUUUCAGAGAGAAAACUGCAGAACCCCCUAGUGUUGAAACAUCAAGACCUGCUCAUGAAUGUGCAGAAUGGGGAACCCCUUUCAGAGAGAUUAUAAACAACCCAACCUCUAUGGCUCUUCCUCAUCUUUCCUUGCCCCAAGACCUGCCUCACAAGACAGAGGUUCGUGGAGAGCAGCAGUCAACUACAGAGGUAUUGUCUAUGCACUGUUUGCACAUACAGCUUCAUGAAAGUAAACUUCAAGUAACUAUCCUACUAAUCUUGUAUCAGGAAACUCAUUUGAAGCAAAGUAGUGUAGUAAUCAUUGUAAUUCUGA